AUUUUUGAGCGGGGGACAACAUUUGGAAACGAAUGCUAAUACCGCAUAACAACUUUAAACACAAGUUUUAAGUUUGAAAGAUGCAAUUCGCAUCACUCAAAGAUGAUCCCGCGUUGUAUUAGCUAGUUGGUGAGGUAAAGGCUCACCAAGGCGAUGAUACAUAGCCGACCUGAGAGGGUGAUCGGCCACAUUGGGACUGAGACACGGCCCAAACUCCUACGGGAGGCAGCAGUAGGGAAUCUUCGGCAAUGGACGAAAGUCUGACCGAGCAACGCCGCGUGAGUGAAGAAGGUUUUCGGAUCGUAAAACUCUGUUGGUAGAGAAGAACGUUGGUGAGAGUGGAAAGCUCAUCAAGUGACGGUAACUACCCAGAAAGGGACGGCUAACUACGUGCCAGCAGCCGCGGUAAUACGUAGGUCCCGAGCGUUGUCCGGAUUUAUUGGGCGUAAAGCGAGCGCAGGUGGUUUAUUAAGUCUGGUGUAAAAGGUAGUGGCUCAACCAUUGUAUGCAUUGGAAACUGGUAGACUUGAGUGCAGGAGAGGAGAGUGGAAUUCCAUGUGUAGCGGUGAAAUGCGUAGAUAUAUGGAGGAACACCGGUGGCGAAAGCGGCUCUCUGGCCUGUAACUGACACUGAGGCUCGAAAGCGUGGGGAGCAAACAGGAUUAGAUACCCUGGUAGUCCACGCCGUAAACGAUGAGUGCUAGAUGUAGGGAGCUAUAAGUUCUCUGUAUCGCAGCUAACGCAAU
This 746-nucleotide ribosomal RNA is filed under the name Lactococcus lactis. RNAcentral describes it as "bacterial SSU rRNA". It matches the Rfam family "Bacterial small subunit ribosomal RNA", at positions 128 to 861 of the family's 1533-position model. Lineage: Bacteria; Bacillati; Bacillota; Bacilli; Lactobacillales; Streptococcaceae. The record is from RNAcentral.